Molecule: ribosomal RNA, 478 nt
Filed under: uncultured bacterium
Lineage: Bacteria
Description: partial 16S ribosomal RNA
Rfam family: Bacterial small subunit ribosomal RNA
Source: RNAcentral
GACGAACGCUGGCGGCGUGCUUAACACAUGCAAGUCGAACGGUAAGGCCCUUCGGGGUACACGAGUGGCGAACGGGUGAGUAACACGGGGGGGAUCUGCCCUGCACUUCGGGCUAAGCCCGGGCAACUGGGUCUAAUACCGGACAGGACCCCUUGCUUCAUGGUUGGGGGGGGAAAGAGUUUGGGGUGUGGGAUUGGCCCGCGGCCUAUCAGCUUGUUGGUGGGGUAAUGGCCUACCAAGGCGACGACGGGUAGCCGGCCUGAGAGGGUGACCGGUAACACUGGGACUGAGAUACGGCCCAGACUACUACGGGAGGCAGCAGUGGGGAAUAUUGCACAAUGGGCGCAAGCCUGAUGCAGCGACGCCGCGUGAGGGAUGACGGCCUUCGGGUUGUAAACCUCUUUCAGCACCGACGAAGCGCAAGUGACGGUAGGUGCAGAAGAAGGACCGGCCAACUACGUGCCAGCAGCCGCCGCCG